Molecule: long non-coding RNA, 11591 nt
Organism: Planococcus citri (citrus mealybug)
Lineage: Eukaryota; Metazoa; Arthropoda; Insecta; Hemiptera; Pseudococcidae
Exons: 5
Source: RefSeq, a predicted model, not a curated record
UCAAAAUUUGAAUUCUGCGUUGAAAAUUACUACUCAAGAGUGACUAUUUCAUGUUUUUGGUGGGUUUGAGAAGGAAUAAAAUCGAUUUUUAGGUGAAUAACCGCAAGAAGGUCCUGUCGUUUCAAGAAGGUCCUAUCGAGGUCUCUUUUGUAAAGCACUCCCAUGGAAAUGUUGGUGGUGGAAAAAAAAUUACUACGCAGGAAAUAAAUAGUGGAAAGAUGCUUCUAUUCAACAAAAAAAAACCGGAGCUCGCUAUAUCAUUUUGAACCAAAAUGGCAAAACACUGAAAUAUAAAAAUGCGUUUUUCUCAAAACCAGUUUUUUGUCGAUAGGACCUUCUUGAAAAGCACCAUUCAUUAUACAAUGUGUAUUAACAAAACAAAAAAAAAAUAGAAAAUUGUUUACUUUUGGUUCUUAAAGACAUUAAAAAUAUGAACCAUGCAAUUUUGUUUACAGUUUCUUGAAAGUAUUCUGUAAUUUCACAUUUCGACAUGAUUAUGAACUGAAGUAAGUCAAGAGGUCAAGAAGUGACAUGAAUUAUGUUGUGUGUAGGUCAGGAUAUCCUGAUAUGCACCGAAUUCUGACAUGAUACCUAUGUACAUUACUAGGAUUGAUGAUAAUAAGUCCUCAUUGUAAAGUAGACUUGUUUAAUUUUUUAUAUUUGCAGUGAUAAUGAAUAAUUUGUUAUUUUGACUAUUAUUAUUAAAGUUGUUUAAAUAUUAUAUAUCUUGAGGUUCUGCUGAAUCGCCCAUUGGAAUAUCCAUAUCUUGAUAAAAUCUCAUUAAUAACGCUAAUGCGUGCCCUGAAAAAAUAAACAUUUUAUUAUUAUAUAUUAUACUAAAUCAAGAAUAUUCAGGAAAACGUUUUAGAAUACCUCUGCAAUUCUGCAUAGCUCAAAUUGAGCAAUGCUCUCCUGCUGUGGCUCGCUACUUGCCACCAAAGCUUCGCCCAUAAAAUGACAAAAAAAAAUUAAUUAAAUAUUUGAGUUUCUAGCAAAGUUUUAACCUAUUUUGAUAUGUUACAUUCCAUUUUUUUUCAAAAAUUUAAAAAAAACUUAAAAUUUUUUUUUUUUAAUCCAAAAGUGCCUAAAAAACACAUUUUAAUGAAAUAUUCGAGUUGAAGUGAACUACUUUUGAAGUCGUGUCAUGAAAAUUAGUUUUGCAAACAACUUUUCAGAGGAAUUUUUACCUUCUCAAGACAUCUUGGUGCCUCCUCACCAUUUAUACUCCUCAGAUUCGAUUCCCAGUUACCUUUACUUCGUUCUCAUUGUCAGGUGGUUUUUACCUAAGAAUCAACAUUCAUUCCAUUAUUGUGGAGGACUCUAAUCUUGAAGAAUUCAUGUCUGAGAGAGUGAGAGAGGCAAAACAGUUUUCUGAAGUAGUCCAGGAAAAUUAGCAUUCCAUUUCGGUACUUUCACUAGUCCAUUUUUAUGUACUGAACUGAACAUGAAUCUGAAGAAUCCCCGCGCGUCCCUUGUGAGCGUUCUCCCCCAGAGUGGAUUUUAGCCCUAGGUCCAAAACCAUUUUUCGCCAUUUUCUCCCCCUCAUUCCAUUUUAGUGAAAAAUGUGAUUAGAAAGAAGAACCUACGUCUAGUGAUGUAUCAACUGUUUUUGUACUGACCAAGGGGGGAGGAGGGCUACAACCAGGUGAGUUUUCUGAAAAAUACACAAAGACCUUAGGCGCAUAAGAGGGGUGAAAGGAUCCCCGAGAGCGUUCGUAUUGAUAUGUAUUUUUUAAAAAAAUAGAAAAUUGCUUACUUUUGGUUCUUAUAAAGACAUACAUAGUUGUGGCUAAGUAUUUCUCUUUAUCUUUAUCGCCAGCCCAAAUUCACUAAUGAACCUUGCAGGGGUCUAAAAUAUGGGAGGUUUUGAUGUGAAAAAUCCAAUGGAGUGAUUAGUUUAACGUUUUAAGUGCAUAUUUUGCUGAAUUCGUCGAGUAAUUUUUAUUGUAAUCUGAAUGAUUUACGAUAAAUGAUGUAAAAUGACCAUUUUUGUCUGCGAAGUUCUUUUCGUACUCGGAAAAUGAGACAUCAUCUGCAAAGACUUUGCGACCCAACUUCAUAUGAGAGCUAGCAGCUGUCAAGAAAAACAAGUAGGAACACGGAUCACUAUUUCGUAUACUGGUCCAUUCUUAUGUGCUGAACUGAACAUGAAUCUGAAGAGUCCCCGCUGGUCCCUGGUGAGCGUUCUACCCCAGAGUGGAUUUUAGCCCCCCAAAACCAGUUUUUCGCCAUUUUCUCCCCCUCAUUCCAUUUUAGUGAAAAAUGUGAUUAGAAAAAAUAAUCUACGUCAAAUUUACGAUCUAGUGAUGUAUCAACUGUUUUUUGUACCGACCAAGAGGGAGGGGGACUACAACCAGGGGGAGUUUUCUGAUAAAUACACAAAGACUUUAGGCGCAUAAAAGGGGUGAAAUGAUCCCCGAGAGCGUUCAUAUUAAAUAUGUAGAUAUUUAAAAAAAUAAAAAAUAAAAAAAAUAAAAAAUUGCUUACUUUUGGAUAUUUAGGAAAAUAUUUUAGAAUUUACACAUUCUACUAACGCUUCACCUAUAAAAAGACAAAAUAAAAUUUUAUUAAAUAUUUGCAAAACUUUAACUCAUUUUGUGAUUUUGAUAUGUUACAUUACAUUCCCUUUUUUUUUUUUCGAAAAUCAAAAGAAAUACCUACCUUCAAUACUUUUUUCAAAAAUGUCCAAAAAUGUCCGAAAAAACACAUUUUCAAUGGAAUAUUUGAGUUUCUCUCAAAAUGUUAAGCCAUUUUGAGUUUUCACCUAGCGAAUGCUAUCAUCAAUGCACCUAUAUAAUUUUUCGACUUUUCUUUGACAGUUUUCUAAUUCGAACAAUAUUUUACCGAUGAGCUUGAAUAAAAAAUGAAAUGGAAUUGGCCCGAGCAAAGCGAGGGCGAAAGUUUGCGAUAAUUUGUAAUUUGAGAAGCUAUGAAUUUUCCAAAUUCUGCCAAUGUUUCCCUAAAAAUUGUUAGGUAAUUUUGAAAAAGGAAAACAAAUAAGCUCGAGCGAAGCGAGAACCACAAAGUUGAUUUAAAAAAAUUUACCACAUCAGGUAAAACUUCUUAUCAAAUUCUUUCAAAUGAAAAAAAAAACGAGAAUUUUAAAUGCUUAAUUACUUAGAGCUGAAAUUUUAAAUCAAACAAUCAAUCAAAUCAUUUAUUGCAGUACUUAGACACCUUUAGCUGUAUUUACAAUGUCAAUAAACUAAAUAUUAAUUACAGUAGUCCCCGCUUAAUGUAGUCGCGGUGGAUAGAAUAAUUCGGAUAAUGGAAUCAAAAUGGGUUGGGACAGAACGCUUGCAUCUUUUUACAUGCAAAUUUUAUCGCUUAUUGUAGUGAGAAAGAGCAUUGAGUUCGGUUAAUAGAAUUGAUUAAUCUUCAAAAGUUGGAGAAAAUCAUGGAAAUUUGACAAAAUUUAACAAGAAGUGGAUGAAAAAGACAUGUUUUAAACACGUUAAAAUAGCAUAAAAACACAAAAUGAAGAUUAUUUUGAAAUGAGUGAAAAUUGGAAAAAAAGAUGAUGACAUUUUUGUAAAAUUGUAUAAAAAUUAUCCAAAAAGUGUUCAAAACAUAUUAAAAGACUAAAUGUACCUAACUAAACAACCAAAAAAGUACUGAAAUUGACUCCUAAAAUCAUCAAAAAGUAAUGAAAUUUCAACAGAAUUUGGAAUUUUGUGUGUUUUUAUCCUUCACCUUUCUCUGGUUUAUAGAAUGAAACAUACUGGGUCCCAACUGAUUCUAAUAAAUAAGUAUGAGUAGAAAGUGGAAAUUUGUUUGUGAAAAUGAUGGAGAUUAUGCUGAAGGAAGUCCAAGCUUAUUUAUGACCAGACCAGGGGAAAGCCCAAAUACAAGUAGUAUUUUCAUAGUAUGAGGUUAUAAUGCUAUAAGCAAAGAUACAGGAUAAAUAUUUCGAAAUUUUUUCUGCGUUUUUUUAUUGGACCGCUUAUUAGAAUAUCCCGGUUAAUAGAAUUAAAAGUACCUCGGCCCAAACCAAUUCCAUUAAGCGGGGACUACUGUAUAACAUAUUAACAUACUUAGUACCUACUACUGGAGGGGAAAAAAGUGAAUUGAAAAUACAGAUAGGUAAUUAAAUUAUACAAAAUGUUCAGAAAUACUCUUUUGUGAGAAUAAUAUGUUUGAAAUGAGAGAAAAAAAGGGAAAAAACAGAAAACCACAAAAAAAAACAACAGAUUAUAAGAUACACAGCUCAUGAAAACACAGUGAAAUACUUACUCCUUUGGUGAGAACAAUAGUAAGUUUGAAAUGAAAUAUCAUAAGAAAAUAGUAAUAAUAAUACCUAAUAAAAAUUAAAGAAACAACAGAUUAUAAAAAUUACAGUAAAUUUUUGAGGCCAUGAAAUCAAUGUUAUUUUGCAUAAUUUUUGUUCUUAAAUUUUCACUUAUAGCCAAAUUUCUAAAUCUUGUUUCAUGUGUAUGAGAAGGUACCUUGAGAUUUAUUAUUCCAUUCUUUACCAUAAUUGUACAUACAUAAUUGAAGAAUGUACUCACAUGGAGCUGUCAACUCUUGGUGAAGGGAGAUAUUGAAAUCUGUGGGGUAAAUCUUACCAAUAGGGGCAUCAACGGGUGUUUGAUGAAAGUUUCUGAAAAGGUUAUGUGCAACAUGGCUCUUACUCUUCAUGGGAGCGAAAAAAAAUGUACCUAAAGUGUACCGAUUCCUGAAUUUCUCAAUAAACAUUUUUUUCUUAAAAAAAUGAAAUUUUGGUGGGAAUAUGUGGAGGGGGAGGUACCAUACUGUAUUCACACACAAAAUUUCAGCAAAAUCAGUUCUAAAAAAUACGUUCCACAGCGAUUUUUUCAAUUUUUAUCCAUGGAAAAUUCAACUCUUUUUGCUCUGUAGAGUGUUGUAUGGGCCGGAUACGGCUCAUUUUUGGCAUACCAAUUUAUGAGGAACCGACCAACUUGCAUGCCGAAAAUGAGCCGGAUCCGGCCCAUACAACACUAUACAGAGCAAAAAGAGUUGAAUUUUCCAUGGAUUAAAAAUUGAAAAAAUCGCUGUGAAACGUAUUUUUUGGAACCGAUUUUGCUGAAAUUUUGUGUGAGAAUACAGUACCUCCCCCUCCACAUAUUCCCACCAAAAUUUCAUUUUUUUAAGAAAAAAAAUUUUUAUUGAGAAAUUCAGGAAUUGGUACACGAUAGGUACAUUUUUUUUGAUCCCAUGAAGGGUUGGAGCCAUGUUGCACAAUAUAAUAACCUUUUUUUUCGUCUAGGCGAGAUCUACACGUGGUUAAAUUACUCGGAAACUUUCAUUAAACACCCUACAUAUACUCUCUGUAUACAUAGUAUAGGCCUCCUACUGGAGAUUUGGAUCGCGAAAACGUGAUUUUAACGUUUUUUCAAAGAGUGAAAUCUCAGAAUUUGACCAAAAAUAGCUCAAUUUUGAAAGUUACAGGAAAAAUUAAAUGACAAAAUUACCAAGCACUUGCUAGGGUGUUUUGAAUGUAAAUUUUUCAAUUUAUUUGAAAAAAUGUGCAUAAACGCAUUUUUUAGGGGUGCCUAAAGUGGGCGAGGACUCUAAAAAGAGGGUUCGAAAUUACGAAAUGCCUCAAAACGUUACGUUUGGCGCAAAUCACAGGUUUUUAUUUUUCUAGGGGUUCCCAAAAUAUCGAAAUUACGAAAAUUGGAAAAUUUUAUUUUUGAGUACCAGCGCAAAAUUUUAUUGGGCUCAAAAUUUGGUAGGAUGGAGGUCUUUCAGAUGUAUUAAUAAACUGUAAAAAGCUUUUUAGCGGCGUUCAAAGGGAUAGGUUCAAAAUGGUGGUUCCAAAAUUUUUCAAAAAUCAUAAACCCCCAUUUCUGCCCCCGAGGGUUGAAAAUAGAAAAAUCGCAUAACGUUUAUUGGGUUCAAACAGAUACCUAUUUCACGCUAAAAAAGUUUUUGAAAAUAAUUCUCAGAGGUUCUCAAUGUUCUUUUUUAUUCACAACUUUGGGAACCCCUGGAGCCAAAAAAAUGGACAUUUUGGGUUGAAUAAUCACGGAUUCGUAUUUGGGACAUUUAAUUAUAACAUUUCAAGAGUGGUCGAGUCGAUAACUGUCCGGGCCCAAAAAAACAGCCUUGUCGAGACUCCUCCAAAAAGAGGAAAUCUCAUCAUUUCACGAGUAUUUAUUUAAUUUUUGCUUUUGUUUGACUGAAAAAAUCUGAAUGCAGCGGUCAAUUGGCUGGAAACAUCAACGUAAAAUUCCGGAAUUUUUUUUUUUCGUGGUACGAGUACCUCCUCCAGGGGGGAGGGUGGAUUUUAAGGUUCAUAAUUAUUAUUGCUGUGCACAACUUCGUCGUGUAAUUUUUAUACCUAACGUCUUGUAAAUGGCUUGGCUGUGUAUCAAGAGUGAGCUAUUUUUAUGCCGAAAAACAUUCCAGAAAGGCAUUGAUCUCGUUCAAGACGUAAGUUAUACUUGACGAUGAAGCAUACAUACACAACUGUCGAGACAUGUACUUUGGCUCUGACUCAGAGAUACGAUUAAUUUGGCAACAUAUUUGACUCGGAUGUAAUGUGUGAAUAACGUUAUAAAAAUGUUCAUCCGCAAAAAAAAUUCACUGCGAAAGAAUUCCUAUCCCCCCGCCCACCUUCUAAGGAAACAUGUAACAAUAUUAUAAAAAUAUAGAAGUACGGAAAUGAAAAAUAUUUUUAAAAAAAUAAAUAAUGAAAAAAUACUGAAAAUUAUAGUGGGUCAUUCCAUGCCAAAUCGGCGGAUUUUUGCACGAAGGGUAUUCCAAUUUUUUUCAAAAUCAGAUCAUUUGUAGAUAGGGGUCAUCAAACUAUGACGAAUGACGCAAACUAGACAUUUUUUCGAUUUUUUUUUUGGCGGAGCUAUGGGGCUUUAACGUUUUCCAAAAUGGCUGAAAAUGGAAAAUUUCAGUUGCAAAUCGCUCCGGUUGUAAGUACGUCGUAUUGAAUUUUGAACUUUUCUUCAAAUUGUAGUACCUACUUUCAGAGGGUAUUCGACGAAUGAUGUCAAAAUCAGUGUUGUCACUUUCAAAAACCUAAAAAAUCUAAAAAUCUAUAAUUUAAAUAUAAAACCACGAUGGUCGCGAGUAAAAAUUCUGAAAAAAUUCUCUGUGUUAGUACUUUUCAUGUACCAUAGAAUAACAUAUAAAAAAAUUUAACUAGCAUUUUUUUUCAUUUUCAAGAAAGAAAAUGACAAGUUUUACACUUAGGUAUUAUGUAUACUUACUUAUUGCAAAAAUACCAUCAGAAACCUACGAAAUGAAAAUUUUUGCAUUUUUGAGAUAUUUUACCAAUGUGUAGAGGUAGACGAACAUGUGAAAAGAAAUCUCCCUCCCUCCCAAUUUGUCAACGAAUCGACGAGAACUGACAUUUUUCGUGAUAUAAUAUUAAGAGUGAAACAUGUUGAAAAAAUUUCGCCACCGUUUUAAACAGCAGCAGGAACCUAAAAAACGAAUAUUUUUGGAUUUUUGAAAUAUUUCACCAAUAUGUAGAUGGACAUGUGAAAAAAUCCCCCCCCCCAAUUUGUCAAUCUAACGUAAUUUUUGCUCCGUGGAUUGAAGACUAGCAUGACGUUAAUAUAAGACUUGCCUCAGUUGAUUUCAAGGAUAAUUGAGAAUACGAUUUUUUUUACCCAAAAACGCUCCCGCUCCCUUUAAGUUGAUUUGAAAAAAUUUACCACAGUACCUAACUACCUACUUAGGUAACUACAAAUUUUUAAAAAAAAACAACUGACAAAAAUUUUGAAGAGCGGAAAUAGAUUUGGUUCUUAAAAUUUGUUCUAUAAUACUUCCAAUCAAGUGUUCUUCUUGUGUUUGAACGUUAUGAACUUAUGAUCAUCCGGAGAAUUCACGUUUUCUCGAGGCAGACACAUUGUGAAGUAUAAUAAGUACCUACUUAUUUCCAACAAAAAAAUAAAAUAAAUAAAUAAUAAUAAACCGAUUGAAUAUUCGAAUAUAUUUUUAAAAAUUAAAAAAAAACCGACGCCAGCGACAAUUUGAUAAUAAAUGGUGAAUACUUUGCUAUAAUUACUUUGCGGAUAAUUUUGCAUGUAGGUAACAUCUCACCUACCCUAAAAAAGAUUCUUUUAAUAUGUAUAAUAAUAAUACUUAUUGUUAGAUAGAUAAAUCCCACAUACAUACAGCCAAGAACAAUCCAUAACUCGAUCUUCAGCUGUUAUGCAAUUAAUUUCCAUGUACAUAAAUUACGAAGAGAUUGGAAAUCUCGCUGGGUGCUUCCAGAAUGACCAAAAACAGAUAAGAGGAGGGGGACUUGAUAUUGGUUUCGGGACUACUUUCCAUCAUUUUUACCGAAUAAAUACAAAUUUUUGUAAAAAAAAAAAAAAAUAGUGGUCAAUUUUUAAAUUCCUCAAACGUUGAAAAAUCCAUUUGGGCAGCUGUAAUUUUGAGUGCUCUUUAAAAAUCGUAGUCCUUUUCAGCCUUGAUUUAAGAAUUUCAAGCCCAAAAUCUGUUUCAUCAAAUUUUGUGAAUUCGGGUCUUAAAAGUCGAAAAAUCCAUUAGGCCAGUUAAAAUUUUGAUAGCUCUGAUUUAAGAAUUUUAAGCCCAAAAUCUGGUUUAUGAAAUGUUGCGAAUUAGGGAAAAUCGUGGAGUUGGGUUUUUGGGAAAAUGUCUAUUCGGGAUAUUGGAUUCGGGCGAAAGUGCAGGAACGGUGUUGGAAAAUUGUGGCAUGAGAGGUGAGCGGGUUCUGCGCCAGGAAGCAACAAUUCAACUCUGCGCUUCCUCUGAGCGAACAGAAAACAGAAAACCAUUCGGCCUGCUUUCGCUCAUGUUUGAAAAUGAGGUUUGAAAUGUCGAAAAAUAUCAUCGAAUGCACGUUUAAUGCCAAUUUAAGAGUAUCUGAGAAGUUCUGUUGAAAAAUUUUGCAGGGUUAUAGUUAUAUUUUUAAUUAUAAUGUAUUUUCAACCGUCAUAUUUUUAAUGAAUUAGGUAUUCACUUUUUUAAUUUGAAAAAAAAAAUGAUACCUAGAUAGAUUGUAAACUUUUUUACCAAACCUUGCGUAAAGGUGGAUGAAGAAGGAGGCAAACUUUUACCUUCUUCUUGAAAUUUAUUAUAUGUAUAUGUAUCUAGUAAUUACCUACAUACAAUAUCAAUGCCUUUUUACGAGUUAAACUCAAUUGAAUAGUAAUAUUGUUUAUUUCAUGGAAUGAUUAAAAAAAGUAUAUACUUACAUAAUAUGAAGCGAGUAAAUUGUUUAUGAGUCUGUACAAAUAUAAUAAUGAUACAUAAGUAUAUUGAAUUUGAAUUAAUUGAUAAUACGAAAUUGUUAUGACAACACAAUGAAUGUACUAAUGCAUAAGACAAAUAACGAAUUAAGCAUAAAUUAAAACAGAAAAAAUUAUAAGUAGAUACGCUAAAGUAAAAUGAUCGCCAGUCAAGAAAAGGAAAUGUAAUGGUACAAAAGACAAGAAAGGGGAACGAAUUCUGUUUUCUCGGUUGCUAAUGAGAUGCCACAAGAAAUAAUUACCCCCUUGCUACCCGACUUUUGUAAGAUAAAUGCCUAUGGGUGAUAUGGAAAACGAUAAUGAAUUUAAUCAUGCUGAAACUACGAAAGAGCUAAAUAAAAAAGAAAAUUUUAACGAAAAAUAAAUUUAUUUCAAUAUUAAUUUGAAGAAUAGAGAUGAAAAUCGGAUCACCUAAAUCUCACAGAAACAAUGCAGCUGGCUAUAUAUUGAGCUCGCAUCAUGUUGGAACAUUGAGUACUGUGGAAUAAAUUUUCAAAACGUCGAGUGGAAUGAUCGGUUAUGAUUUCUGCUACUAGCUGUGUUAGUAACGUGAUUGCAAAUUUAGAAUUUAGCGUUGACUUAUCACUUGUUUUCCCAAUGGGAUGCCAUUUUAUGUAUUUCUCUGCGCUCUGUUUUCUGGACAUGUGGAACUGUCUACUUGGAUGAUAACGUUCGUAAAAAUCCAUUAACAUAGUUUUACCUCGCAUAUUUUCGCGAGUGAUAAGUUGAUAACAUUAUUAGGACAUACGAUUGGCUUUUAAUUGCAUCAUUCACGUUGAAGAUUUAGCAAUUUAUCAAUCCUUGCUCUACUCCAACGAUCACUCAUGAAGAUCAGCUCUAGAUAAUAUUAUAGUCAAAGAUGCAUCCCUUCAGAACAAUGUGUAUGUUUCAGCUCUCACACAGUUUGGUCGAAUUGAACAGAAUGGCUAUCGCAAGAUCUGCGUUUCAAAAAAAAAACCAAACUAAAUUCCUUUUUAAAAUUAUAAAACUUUUUACUUGAACUUUAUAAUAAUACAUUUUAUAAUAUGUAUGAUUAAUUGAUUAGGUACCUAUUUAGAAGCAAGUUCAGAAUAAAUUCAACAUUUUUUAUUUAUUUAUUUACUUUUUGUUUCUGUAGAUAAGUACCUACUGAUGAAAUAAUCAUUUCUUUAAAAAAAAACACAAGGUAUUUUGAAUUUAAUGUUUGAAGUACAUACCAGCCAUAAUUGGACGGAUUUACUUACAUACUUAUUACUUACAUUUCCAUAAUACUGCCUAACUUCCGUAUCCGAAUCAUUUUUUGAAGUAGUUUUAAUACAGAAACUAAAUUCUUUUUUUGAAUCAUAAAAUUUUUAACUUAUUGAACUUUAGGAAUAAUGAUACAUUUUAUAUUAUGAUUAAUUGAUUACCUAUUUAGAAGCAAAUUCAGAAUAAAUUCAAUAUUUUUAAUUUUUUGUUUGUUUUUGUAGAUACUGAUGAAAUAAUAAUUUCUUUUUUUAAAAAAACAAUGUAUUUUGAAUUUAAUGUUUGAAGUACCUCUGCCAUAAAUGGACAAAUUUACUUACAUUCAAUAAUAUUACCUAAUUAUCCGAAUCAUUUUGAAACAGUCUAACCGAAUACAGAAACUAAAUUUCUAUUUUAAAUUAUAAAACUUUUAACUUGAACUUUAUAAUUAAUAAUAAUACAUUUUAUAUUAUGAUUAAUUGAUUACCUAUUUAGAAGCGAAUUCAGAAUAAAUUCAAUAGGUAUUUUUAAUUUUUUUUGUUUUUUUUGUUUUUGUUUUUGUUUUUGUAGAUACUGAUGAAAUAAUCAUUUCUUUUUUUAAAAAAACAAUGUAUUUUGAAUUUAAUGUUUGAAGUACAUACCUGCCAUAAUUGGGCGGAUUUACUUACAUUCCAUAGAUAAUAUUUUGUAUUCGUAAUACUAAUAGUAAGUAUUAUUGUGAAACAGUCUUAAAACAGAAACUAUGUAAAUUCCUUUUUAUUUAAAUCAUAAAACUUUUAACUUGAACUUUAUAAUAAUAAUACAUUUUAUAUUAUGAUUGAUUGAUUACCUAUUUAGAAGCAAAUUAAGAAUAAAUUCAAUAUUUUUAAUUUUUGGUUUUUUUGUGUUUUUGUAGAUACUGAUGAAAUAAUCAUUUCUUUAAAAAAAAAAAAACAAUGUAUUUUGAAUUUAAUGUUUGAAGUAGGUAACUGCCAUAAUUGGAAGGAUGUACUUACAUAUUUGCAUUCCAUAGGUAAUAAAUUAUUCGCAUCAUUUGAAACAGUCUUGAUUCAGAAACUAAAUUCCUUUUUUAAAUCAUAAAACUUUUAACUUGAACUUUAUAAUAAUAUUUAUAAUAAUACAUUUUUAUAUUAUGAUUAAUUGAUUACCUAUUUAGAAGCAAAUUCAGAAUAAAUUAUAUCGUUUUAA